Long non-coding RNA from Dendronephthya gigantea, 949 nucleotides. RefSeq lists it as uncharacterized. The record is from RefSeq and is a predicted model, not a curated record. The transcript is spliced from 7 exons. NCBI's taxonomy places the organism in Eukaryota, Metazoa, Cnidaria, Anthozoa, Malacalcyonacea, Nephtheidae.
UAACUUCAGCGAGUUUCUGCUGCAAGCACAAGGGCGACUGAUGUCUGGAUUAAAUAAGGUGGGGAUGACAUCCAUCAAGGCCGCCACGUUAAUAUCGACGAAUUCUCCCGAAGUUUUCCGAUUAGUAGGGAGAGUUAUUAGGUUUAAUUACGUGAGCUGGAACGAGGAACGGAAUGAACAAGCCAAGUUUGACGACAAGCAACUGAAGGUUAUGCAAGAGUUCAUGCAAGAAAACAAGGGUAUUUUGCUUGUCUGGGCAAUUAAAUACCUGGAGUUAUAAGCUGAGGUUUUUGAACAUGCGCGUGAAAUUGUCGAAGAGGUCGUCCAAGCGAUCUUCGAUGAAAACGACCUGAAGGUGCAGGCAAGGUGGUUGUCUGGUAUUGCCGCGGUACUUGUCGCAAAUGCUCUGUUACGUUUCUCGUGUGGUAACCAAGCGAACACCAAAGAUUAUGUAUUGUUUGCAUGCGGCGAGUUAUUAAAGGUGCAGACAGUCAGUAUACGUUCAACAAUGCAAAGGCUAGAAGCUAACAUCAUUGAAAAGAUAGCCAAGGAAAAAGACCCGAUUCUUUCAUGGCUGCACCCUAAAGUUACUGUCAAGAAUAUCGAAGGGAUGAAGGUUCCAGGCAUUGAGCUACUGUCAACUGCUUUCUACAGUUUUGUCCAUAUUUCACAUACAGAAUUCAAAGAAUUGCAAAGUACGCUUGUACUGGAGCCGGGGACAAUAGGGAUAUACUUCGGCAAAAACAGGGAAUGCACCUUGUAGCAAAUGAUUAAAAGGAAACACGUUUGCCAGAAAAGAGCGUACCGAAUUCCUCUGGGGAAACUGAUGCCAUUCACGCAACAUAUGAUAGCGUAUGCCAGUGGAAUUCGGGAUGAUGCCCCCAAUGAGAGUGAUCUGGAAUAAAUCAACAAUCUAGCAACAACAAUAUCGGACGAAGUUUGCAAAAGC